UACGGGGGGGGCAAGCGUUGUUCGGAGUUACUGGGCGUAAAGGGCUCGUAGGCGGCCAACUAAGUCAGACGUGAAAUCCCUCGGCUUAACCGGGGAACUGCGUCUGAUACUGGAUGGCUUGAGAUUGGGAGAGGGAUGCGGAAUUCCAGGUGUAGCGGUGAAAUGCGUAGAUAUCUGGAGGAACACCGGUGGCGAAGGCGGCAUCCUGGACCAACACUGACGCUGAGGAGCGAAAGCCAGGGGAGCAAACGGG
This 253-nucleotide ribosomal RNA is filed under the name uncultured bacterium. RNAcentral's name for it is "partial 16S ribosomal RNA". It matches the Rfam family "Bacterial small subunit ribosomal RNA", at positions 524 to 776 of the family's 1533-position model. The record is from RNAcentral.